This 254-nucleotide ribosomal RNA is filed under the name uncultured bacterium. RNAcentral describes it as "partial 16S ribosomal RNA". It matches the Rfam family "Bacterial small subunit ribosomal RNA", at positions 524 to 776 of the family's 1533-position model. The record is from RNAcentral.
UACGUAGGGUGCAAGCGUUGUCCGGAAUUAUUGGGCGUAAAGAGCUCGUAGGCGGUUUGUCGCGUCUGCCGUGAAAGUCCGGGGCUCAACUCCGGAUCUGCGGUGGGUACGGGCAGACUAGAGUGAUGUAGGGGAGACUGGAAUUCCUGGUGUAGCGGUGAAAUGCGCAGAGUAUCAGGAGGAACACCGAUGGCGAAGGCAGGUCUCUGGGCAUUAACUGACGCUGAGGAGCGAAAGCAUGGGGAGCGAACAGG